Camellia sinensis is the source of this 2633-nucleotide non-coding RNA. The record is from RefSeq and is a predicted model, not a curated record. Lineage: Eukaryota; Viridiplantae; Streptophyta; Magnoliopsida; Ericales; Theaceae.
UUGUGGUGUACUGAUCGUCAACACGUUUUUCAUGGCGUCAUGCUCGCUGUAUUUAGCUUAAUAGACACUUAAAUCCCAUUCCAAUUACAAAAGUAACACAAAAUCUCUCUCAUACACUGCCCUUCUUCAUCGAACUCGAUCUCUCUCUCUCUCUCACAAAUCGCAGAUUCAUAAUCGAACAAAAAAGUCGAUCUAAUCUGAUCGAAAUCCGAACUCGAUCUGAUCUCUCUUGCAUUUUGCUAGAUCUAUUCUUGCUCUAGCUUUUCUUCAUCAAACUCAAACUCGAUCUCUCUCGCAAAUUGCAGAUCCCAAAUCGAACAAAAAAGUCUAUCUAAUCUGAUCUCUCUCGCAUUUUGUUAGAUCUGCUGAUUAACAAGGUUUCAAGCAAGUUGUUUGUGUUUUGUUUUUCAUUAUCGAGUGUUAAUCGGUGUUUGAUUUCAUUGUAGGUGGCGAUGAAAUGUAGAGAUCAGUUACAUGAACUUGUAAAGGAAGAGAUAGAGAAGAAGGAUUCGAGUACGGAGGAGUGGAAGAUCGCGAUGGAGAGAAGCUUCAAUCGCAUGGACAAUGAGGUGAUUGCAUGGAACGACAGCGUUCUGCGCACCGAGAAAUAUCAAUCCGUUGUUGAAGGAUCUGAGUGAGAAGAAGCAGAGCUUCGGGCGAAACGUGGUGUCACUGGCAGUGGAGCUCAAGGAGGCCCGAAGCCGUCUCGCUUCACAGGAGCAGUCAUUGGCUCUUCAAACCCUAACUAGACAUGCAUGUGAAUUUGCAGAGGCCAAAGCUAAGAAGAUGGAGGAGGAGAUGUAUAGAUUACAGGAGAGCUUAGAGGAGAGAAAUGGGCAGCUUCAAGCAUCAGCAUCUACUGCUGGGAUGGUUGAGCUCUUGGUUGGUGAACCGUUUUAUUAUGGAAAUGAUAGCAUGCUUCCAUGGCAAAACCUGUGGUUUUGGUAAAUAAUACUACUUUAAUUUGUAUUUGUACGAUAUGUCUUAAUUUGAGCAUCAAAUAGUGUGUCCGAACUAGGAAAUAUUGCAUUCAGUUUUAUCUCAGAUUGAAAUGCUUAGUUUUGUAAGAAUAUCACUCGCCCUGAUCAUUCUGGAUGUGUUAAUGCCUGAAAAUGAAUUAUAGUCCUACUAUAAGGUGUUGGAAGUUUACUCAACUCUUAUUCUUAAUUCAAAAUUUUCGUAGGCAAACUUAUUGAGAUGUUAUUCGGACUAUUUCUUCAUCAGUGAUGCUUAAGAUCUUCUUUACCUAAGGUUUUGAAUAAGGUAAACUUAAGGACUAUUUCUUAGGGGCAUGUGGUGAUUUACCCGCAUCCCAAGAGAGCCCUUGUUUUCCCUUUUUUGUUUGGCAGGGUGGGGAGAAUAAGGUAAUCAAUUUGUGUAAUGGAAAGUACUUUUUAUUUGAGAAUAUAAUGAUAUUACAUUUUGAUAUUAAAUGCAAUUUGAGUUCAAAUCAUUUCAGGGGCUCAGUGAGAUAUCUACAGUCAUGGAGUUUGAUUUCUCAAAACCCAUUAGUCCUUGUUUUGGGAAAGCCCAGGUUGAAUUUACGGAGCUUGGGAUAUGCCAUGGUUUUGUGCUCUGGAUUGAUUGGGUGAUGGACAUUGAUAACUCCAUUUGUGCUUUCAACAGGACCUGAUAAAAGAUACUGGAAGCAAGGAAUUAAGCUGUUGGCCAAGCCAGUCACAGUUGGAAUCCAUGGAUCAAGAAGAGGUAACAUUUCAGCGGAAAUUGAGGCGUCCUUCAACCCUUCAAACGGUGAAAUUGAUAUCAAAUAUGCUUUCACAUAAUUCUAGAGUUGCAUUAGCUGAGCCUCUCUUCGUGUAUUCUCUCAAUUGAACUGCUGGUGCUCAAUCAUUUAUUCCCACUGUAUCAUUAGGUACAUUAGUUACAAAUUUUAUGGAAUCGUGUAAUGACAGAUUUCAGGAUUCAAUUUUUCCUACACUGCUCAAUCUUUUCUAAUGGGUUUUGGAGCACAUGUUAUGGACUCCUGUUUCACCACCUCACAAGUCCGUUGUGCUUGUUAAGAUUCAUUCUCCAAUGCGUUCUGAUCCAAACCGUGUUGUAAAGUGGGUACCUGACUGUAGCACUAUUGUUGCUGCCAGGAUUGCAUCAGAAAAGUUAUUAAGAUGGAGUUGGUUUCAAGAUAAAACUCGAGAUAGAUCUUCCGCGCAUCCUCGUCCAAUUUUGUGGUUCAUUUCAACAUGCUAGAUUUCGCAAUGAGGAAAAGAAGGCCUGCCAGAGUCUUUCUAGAAGCAAUCGCUGAGAUGCCAAGCAAGUCUAGACCGCUUCUCUUCACCGGCUAGGAUCUCCGAACACCCAGCAAAAUGAUUUUGACUUUCCAUGGAGAAUUCGCCCACUACGUCAUUGAAAACUGCUCCAUUCUCUGAAGGGUUCUCGGUAAGAGUCUCUUUGGAGGAAGAGAACCAACUCCAUAAAUGAGAAUGAGAGUUCUGUGAAAACAAGAAAAAAAGAAGCAAGAACAGAAGAUAAUGGUUUUGUUGAGGGAGUAGUAAUCGAGCGGGUGAUGUUUGGGAGCCAAAUUGAGAUUAUGUUGCUCUUUUUAUUUAUUUAUAUUUUUUUUUUUUUGAGGACUCGAAUCUUUUAGUACAAUAUAUUUUAAUGAUGGUUGAUGGAUA